UACGAAGGGGGCUAGCGUUGCUCGGAUUGACUGGGCGUAAAGGGCGCGUAGGCGGUUUGUACAGUCAGGCGUGAAAUUCCUGGGCUCAACCUGGGGGCUGCGUUUGAUACGUGCAGACUUGAGUUCGGAAGAGGGUCGUGGAAUUCCCAGUGUAGAGGUGAAAUUCGUAGAUAUUGGGAAGAACACCGGUGGCGAAGGCGGCGACCUGGUCCGAUACUGACGCUGAGGCGCGAAAGCGUGGGGAGCAAACAGG
RNAcentral lists this ribosomal RNA (253 nucleotides) under uncultured bacterium. Its description in RNAcentral is "partial 16S ribosomal RNA". It matches the Rfam family "Bacterial small subunit ribosomal RNA", at positions 524 to 776 of the family's 1533-position model. The record is from RNAcentral.